Molecule: long non-coding RNA, 26451 nt
Filed under: Arabidopsis thaliana (thale cress)
Lineage: Eukaryota; Viridiplantae; Streptophyta; Magnoliopsida; Brassicales; Brassicaceae
Description: long non-coding RNA (ATHA_LNC000676)
Source: RNAcentral
AGAGAGUGAGGAAACUGUGAAACCUGAACAACAUGGUGGUGGAUUCGGUGACAAUGGAGGAGGAAGAUACCAAGGAGGAGGCGGCCAUGGUGGCCACGGAGGGGGAGGAUACCAAGGAGGAGGAGGACGAUACCAAGGAGGCGGUGGGCGACAAGGAGGAGGGGGAAGUUACUGCCGCCACGGCUGCUGCUACAAAGGUUACCAUGGCUGCUCAAGGUGUUGUUCAUAUGCCGGAGAAGCGGUUCAGACUCAGUCUGGUCACUAAAUCUACAUAAUAUAUCAACCACCAUGAGUGUACGAUUUCAUUUAUAUAUACACUUACGUGUGUAUGUGAUAUGACAAUACACUUACGUUUGUAAUGAAGUGCCUUAAGUUUAAGAGGAGAAACUAUCGGAAUAAAGUUUCAUAAUGUAAUGCCUUUGUGUUUAUUUAAGUUGUUAUUUGCGAUGUUUGCAUAAUAAAGUUGUUUCUAGUUGAAGUUAUUCUCUUUUGGUUUUAUGUGACCCUAUUAAUUCUUUUUUAGUACUGGCCUAAGGAAAGAUAAAAGAUGUACAAAAAAGAAGAAGAUUUAAACAGGCUGGGCAAGGAAAAUGCUUUUUCUUAAAAGAAAAGAUUACUAGAUAGUUAGAGACUCUAUCGAAUUUUGACAUGCACAAUAGUUACAAAGUUCACUAAAUAUAAAGUACGUAGUAUUAUAAAGAAUCUCUUACAAGAUCUAUAGCGCUCAAAGCUAGAAGUGUCAAUUGGGUUGUCCAAAGCCCAAUGGUCAUGUCCAAUUGGACCAUUAGUUUUAAUGGGUUUUAAUGGAUGGUCCUUAUUGGACAAUGGUCUGAAAAUUUGUCCAAGACCAUUAAGGACCAUGUCCAAUGGUCAGCCCAUGGUCAGCCCAUAACUUAAUGUUGCUUGAAUACAAUGCAUUUUCAUAAGAAAAGAUAAGAACUUAGCUUCCUCUUACAAAUAUGAUUAGAUGGUACUUAAAACUGUAAAAAAUAAGUCAUAAAGUGACAAACUUGAGGAGAUACAUAGAAAAUAAGUUCAUCAAAAGAGUUAAGCUUAGAUUUGGGAAUUAAAAAAUGUCUGAAUAUUAUUUGCUAAUCAACAGAUUCAUAUUCUAGUAGAACUAACCGGAGUAGGAGUUGAGAGAGAGGUCGAAGCGAGAAAGAGAGAGAGGGAGCUUCGUCGCCGAGGGAGAGAGAAGAGAAGAGAAGAAAAUUGAUGUGUUGAGAAACUUGAUGGGCCAACCAUAGACCGUGUGGGCUAGCCCAUUAAACCCGUGGACAUAAUUGGUCUUUAGACCAUUUAACCCGUUUUCUUUACGGGCCGACCAUGGACUGUCCAUAAUGUUGUGGACUGGGCUUAGCCCAUGGUCAGAUGACCAUUUGACGGUUCUACUCAAAGGUAUAGAAACUCAUUGUGUAGGGUUUUGCUUUUAGAUAUUCUUUGGAGGUUUAGAGAGUUUCACCGCCUUUUGUCUCUUGGCAUUUAAUGCCUCCCAACAACAACUACGUACAAGUCUCAAGUACUGGUCCUAUUAUAUUGUUGUUAAUAAAACAUACUUUCUUUUACAUGCUGAAAGAACAUUAUCUUCGCACCAAACCUCGAAAGAUAUUUCACCUAAUGCGAUGCAUUUUAUAAUUCUCAGGGACAAAAGUACUAUGUAUAGUAUAUUAGUAUGUCUCUCUAAAAACGAAGGACAUUUGGGGUUAAAAGGCUUUUCACUAUUACGAAAUAAAACAUUGUAUCUCCAGUUAUAGUCUUAGAUCAUCUCCAAUGUUCACCUCUAUUUAUUUUUUUCUUUAUUUUAGAGACAACUCUAUUUUUUAAUAAAAUAUAGUUGAUUUUGUUCUAAUAUAUACCCCUCUAAAAUAGAUAUUGAAUAUAUUAUCAAGGAUGUCAGCAAAAUGUCAUAUUGGUUUAUUUUUAUUCGUAGAUGUGAUAUACCUUGAUUUUUACUGAUUAUAUCUAUGAUCUAGAUAUAUGUUUUUAGAGUCUUUUUUUUGUUUUAACGUCUUUUAAAAAUAAUUGAGAAAUCAAAUAUUCUUCCCUAAGUUGUUUAUUAGUUUAGACUUAAAAUCAAUUUUAUUAACCCUACGGGAUAUGACUAUAUGAGUCACCGAAGCGUUUUGCAUUUCUCUAGAGCUUUCUCUAGUCUUCCUAAUCCAAACUUGGAAGCCUUUAAAGUUGUAGCUUAACUUUUUCAGUUCAUUCCUGUCUCUUUCUUUCCACCUCACUCAGAGAGGUAAAUACUUAAAACUUAACAAAAUAUUUUUAAUCGUUCUACUUUUUUAUUUUCUUGACUGUGUUCAGUUUCUCAAACAUGGUAACCUACAAUAAAUAAAGCUGUUAACAAUAAUGUUCUAUAUUGGAAUUUUGUUUUUUUGCUCGUCUCUCGAGAUUGUUCUUUGAGUUUUCGAUUGACAAAUCUUGUGUGUAGAUUGGGAUCAAUGGUGACAAAAGGUUUAUAUUGAACCAUAUAGUCGUUGUGUUCCAUUUUUAGGUUAAAUAAAUGGUUUUAAAUUGUUACUGACUAGGGUCUUUUGACGAAAAUAAAAAAAUAAAAAAAAAAUGACUAGGGUCACUUUUGACAAAAUUGUUUCGGGAAAAUCAAAUGUUAUUCCCUAAAAAGUCAAGUGUUAUUAACCCUAUGAGAUAUGAGGAGCCGAAACGUUUUGCAUUCCCCUAGUCCUCCUAAUCCAAACUUGGAUGCCUAAAGGGGAGUUUGUUGGGAUAAGCAUGAAGUCAAUAAAUUAGGGAAUAAAAGUUAUGUUUUAAAAUAGGAUUAAGAUAAAUCUUUAGGAGUAAUCUAAAGAUAUGUUAGGAGUUAUCUACAUCUUAUUCUAUUGUGUUUGUUAUCAUCCCUCUCCUAUAUAAGAGUUGCCAAAGUUGUGGUAAACCUUAAGAGAUUUGAGAGAGAGAUUGAAAGCUUUGUUUUGAGUUAUUUUCAAAGCUAAUAAAAGGAGUGCUUUUAUAUUUGAUCUAAGUAUUCAAAUCUUUAUUUGGUAUCAGAGCAUAACCUAGGUUUCAAUUUUUCUUUUUCGAAUAUGAGUGAAAUUGUUGCUGCAAGCAACAAACCUAAAGAAGGGGGGGGGGGGGUCAUCAUCCAUUCAUUGUCCCAUGCUGAACAACGCUAAUUACACGGUGUGGACUAUGAGGAUGGAGGCUACUCUCCGAGUGCAUAAAGUUUGGGAAACAAUCGAUCCUGGAUCAGAUGACAUGGAGAAGAAUGAUAUGGCUCGAGCUCUUUUAUUUCAAUCCGUACCCGAAUCAACUAUCUUACAAGUCGGAAAACACAAGACCUCUAAAGCCAUGUGGGAAGCCAUCAAGACAAGGAACCUCGGUGCUGAAAGGGUAAAAGAAGCAAAGCUACAAACUCUUAUGGCAGAGUUUGAUAGACUAAAUAUGAAAGAUAAUGAGACAAUCGAUGAGUUUGUAGGGAGAAUAUCUGAGAUUUCUACGAAAUCAGAAUCUCUUGGAGAAGAAAUAGAAGAGUCAAAGAUUGUGAAAAAAUUUCUGAAAAGCUUGCCACGAAAGAAGUAUAUACAUAUCAUUGCAGCAUUAGAGCAGAUUCUCGAUCUCAACACAACCGGAUUUGAAGAUAUAGUAGGAAGGAUGAAAACAUAUGAAGAUCGGGUUUGUGAUGAGGAUGAUUCACCGGAGGAACAGGGUAAACUCAUGUAUGCAAAUUCAGAAUCAUCUUAUGAUACAAGAGGAGGAAGAGGUAGAGGUCGAGGUCGUUCUUCUGGCAGAGGACGUGGAGGAUAUGGUUAUCAACAAAGGGACAAGAGUAAAGUCAUCUGUUAUAGAUGUGAUAAAACAGGACAUUAUGCAUCUGAAUGUCUAGAUCGUUUGCUCAAACUUAUUAAAGCGCAAGAACAACAACAAAACAAUGAAGAUGAUGAUGAAAUUGAGUCGCUUAUGAUGCAUGAGGUGGUUUAUUUGAAUGAGAGAAGCGUGAAGCCAAAGGAGUUUGAAGCUUGCUCAGAUAAUAGCUGGUAUUUGGAUAAUGGUGCGAGUAACCAUAUGACAGGUAAUCUUCAGUGGUUCUCCAAGUUGAAUGAGAUGAUCACAGGAAAGGUGAGAUUCGGUGAUGAUUCUCGUAUUGACAUAAAAGGGAAAGGUUCAAUUGUGCUCAUCACCAAAGGAGGAAUACGCAAGACAUUGACUGAUGUCUACUUUAUACCGGAUCUAAAAAGCAAUAUCAUUAGUUUGGGACAAGCCACUGAAGCAGGCUGUGAUGUUAGAAUGAAGGAUGAUCAAUUAACGUUGCAUGAUCGUGAAGGGUGUCUGUUACUAAGAGCAACACGCUCCAGAAACAGACUUUACAAAGUCGAUUUAAAUGUUGAAAACGUGAAGUGCUUACAACUCGAAGCAGCAAGUGAGUCAACUAAAUGGCACGCACGUCUUGGACAUUAACUUUGACACAAUCCAAGCUAUGGUAAGAAAGGAAUUGGUUAUCGGAAUCUCUAAUAUUCCAAAGGAGAAAGAGACGUGUGGUUCAUGCCUCCUUGGAAAACAAGCAAGGCAGCCAUUCCCUAAAGCAACUACUUAUCGAGCAUCACAAGUAUUGGAACUUGUUCAUGGUGAUCUUUGUGGUCCGAUAACACAAUCUACAACUGCUAAGAAAAGAUACAUACUCGUGCUGAUCGAUGAUCACACUCGUUACAUGUGGUCUAUGCUAUUGAAGGAGAAGAGUGAGGCAUUUGAAAAAUUCAGAGAUUUCAAGACUAAAGUUGAACAAGAAAGUGGAGUUAAGAUCAAAACCUUCAGAACAGAUAAAGGAGGAGAGUUUGUCUCUCAAGAAUUUCAAGAUUUCUGUGCAAAAGAAGGCAUCAACAGACACUUAACCGCUCCAUACACACCACAGCAGAAUGGAGUUGUUGAAAGGAGAAAUAGAACGUUGCUAGGUAUGACAAGAAGCAUCUUGAAGCACAUGAAAAUGCCUAACUAUUUGUGGGGAGAAGCAGUAAGGCACUCAACCUAUAUCAUCAACAGAGUAGGAACAAGAUCUUUGCAGAACCAAACACCAUAUGAAGUUUUUAAGCAAAGAAAGCCGAAUGUAGAACACUUACGUGUAUUUGGAUGUAUUGGUUAUGCCAAGAUUGAAGGUCCACAUUUGAGAAAGCUUGAUGAUAGGUCAAAGAUGCUUGUUUAUCUUGGAACUGAACCAGGCUCCAAAGCAUAUCGUCUUCUUGAUCCAACUAACCGCAAAAUUAUCGUAAGCAGAGAUGUGUACUUUGAUGAAAACAUGAGCUAGAAGUGGAACAAUUCAGAUUCUGAAACUCGGGACAUCUCUGGAACAUUCUCACUUACCUUAGGAGAAUUUGGAAACAAUGGAAUUCAAGAAAGUGAUGAUAUAGAAACAGAAAAAAACGGAGAAGAAAGUGAGAACAGUCACGAAGAAGAAGGAGAAAACGAACACAAUGAACAAGAACAGAUUGAUGCUGAAGAAACACAACCCUCACAUGCUACUCCUCUGCCAACAUUAAGAAGAUCAACAAGACAAGUUGGAAAACCAAAUUAUUUGGACGAUUAUGUCUUAAUGGCAGAGAUCGAAGGCGAACAAGUUCUAUUGGCAAUUAAUGAUGAACCAUGGGAUUUUAAAGAAGCAAACAAGUUGAAAGAAUGGAGAGAUGCUUGCAAAGAAGAGAUCCUGUCAAUAGAGAAGAACAAAACUUGGAGCUUAAUUGAUCUUCCAGUUAGAAGAAAAGUCAUAGGGUUAAAAUGGGUUUUUAAGAUCAAGCGAAAUUCAGAUGGCAGCAUAAACAAGUACAAGGCAAGGUUAGUAGCAAAGGGUUAUGUUCAGAGGCAUGGUAUUGACUACGAUGAAGUAUUUGCUCAUGUAGCUCGUAUUGAAACAAUUCGAGUCAUCAUUGCCUUAGCAGCAUCAAACGGAUGGGAAGUACAUCACUUAGACGUCAAGACCGCUUUUCUCCAUGGGGAACUAAGAGAAGAUGUUUAUGUUACACAACCUGAGGGCUUCACAAAUAAAGACAAUGAAGGGAAAGUCUACAAAUUACACAAGGCUCUUUAUGGUUUAAAACAAGCACCUCGUGCUUGGAACACUAAGCUGAACAAAAUUCUUCAAGAACUGAAUUUUGUAAAGUGUUCUAAAGAACCAUCAGUGUACAGAAGACAAGAAGAAAAGAAGCUUCUCAUUGUGGCUAUUUAUGUUGAUGAUUUACUUGUGACAGGCUCUAGCUUGGAUCUAAUACUCUGUUUCAAGAAAGAUAUGGCUGGAAAAUUCGAAAUGAGUGAUCUGGGACAGCUCACGUACUACCUUGGCAUUGAAGUUCUCCAUAGAAAGAAUGGCAUCAUAUUAAGACAAGAGAGGUAUGCAAUGAAAAUUAUAGAAGAAGCUGGAAUGAGUAACUGCAACCCGGUCUUAAUACCAAUGGCAGCAGGAUUAGAGCUCUGCAAAGCACAAGAAGAGAAGUGCAUCACCGAAAGAGACUACAGAAGAAUGAUUGGAUGUCUGAGAUACAUAGUGCAUACUCGGCCGGAUCUCUCUUAUUGCGUUGGUGUACUAAGCAGGUAUCUACAACAACCGAGGGAAUCACAUGGAAACGCACUGAAGCAAGUUCUAAGGUAUCUCAAAGGAACUAUGUCUCAUGGUCUGUACCUCAAGAGAGGAUUCAAGAGCGGAUUAGUAGGCUAUAGUGAUAGUAGUCAUAGUGCGGAUUUGGAUGAUGGAAAAAGCACUGCCGGUCAUAUCUUCUAUCUUCAUCAAUGUCCCAUUACAUGGUGUUCACAAAAACAACAAGUAGUGGCUCUUUCAUCUUGUGAAGCGGAGUUCAUGGCAGCUACUGAAGCAGCCAAGCAAGCCAUAUGGUUACAAGACCUAUUCGCAGAAGUGUGUGGGACAACAAGUGAGAAGGUGAUGAUUCGAGUGGAUAACAAGUCGGCGAUUGCUCUUACUAAGAAUCUUGUCUUUCAUGGUAGGAGUAAACAUAUUCAUCGAAGGUAUCAUUUCAUAAGAGAAUGUGUUGAGAAUAACUUAGUCGAAGUGGAUCAUGUUCCCGGAGUUGAGCAAAGAGCUGACAUUCUAACCAAGCCACUUGGAAGGAUUAAGUUCAGAGAGAUGAGAGAACUAGUAGGAGUUCAGUGUGUGUUGGAAGAUGACUUCAAGCUUAAAGGGGAGUUUGUUGGGAUAAGCAUGAAGUCAAUAAAUUAGGGAAUAAAAGUUAUGUUUUAAAAUAGGAUUAAGAUAAAUCUUUAGGAGUAAUCUAAAGAUAUGUUAGGAGUUAUCUACAUCUUAUUCUAUUGUGUUUGUUAUCAUCCCUCUCCUAUAUAAGAGUUGCCAAAGUUGUGGUAAACCUUAAGAGAUUUGAGAGAGAGAUUGAAAGCUUUGUUUUGAGUUAUUUUCAAAGCUAAUAAAAGGAGUGCUUUUAUAUUUGAUCUAAGUAUUCAAAUCUUUAAAGUUGUGGCUAAACUUCAGUUUGUGUUUGCUUUUGUUUAUCAAGAUUGUUCUUAGACUUUUUCGAGUUAAAAAACUUGUGUGUUGGAGUCAUCAUCGUGAUCAAUGGAAAAUAAAGUUGAGAAGGAGAUUACUUGGGUGAUUAAAAAUUUCUCUUCUCUGCAAUCUGCAACAAUAUAUUCUGAUAUAUUCGUUGUUGGUGGCUGCAGAUGGUAAGAAGAUAAAUUGUUUUCUAAUAUUUUUCGUCUAAUCUACGGUUUACAGAUAAUAUUCUUUGAUUGCUUUCUUUUGUUUUUGCUUGCAGGCGUUGUCAGGCCUUCCCCAAGGGAUAUAAUAAGGCUGAUUAUCUUUCUCUGUAUCUCGACGUUCCUGAUAAAGAAUCUUUACCUAUUGGAUGAAGAAGCCACACAAAAUUUUCUUUUACUUUAGUAAAUAAAAUUUCGGAAAAACUCUCCAAACUUAAAGGUUAUUGGUCUCUAUGCUUGCUAAGAGUAUACCUCAUGUCAUAUUUUCUGGUUUUGUUCAGAGAUAAAAUAUGUUUUGUGAUUCUGCAGAGACUCAGCAGUGGUUUGAUAAGAAUGCUCCUGACUGGGGGUUUACAGAAAUGAUCAGCCUCACUGAACUUCAUGCGGAAGAGGGACUUCUGAGGAACGGAGAACUCACCGUUGUUGCCAAGGUAGAGGUUCUUGAAGUUGUAGGAAAAUUAGAUGUAUCAGAGGAAUCUUCACCAGUAAUUGAAACCAUAGAUGUCAAUGGAUUUCAAGUUCUUCCUUCACAGGUAAAAAAAAAUAUAUUUAAGGAAAACACUUUUUUAUUGUUUUACAUUUUGCGUUUUGAAACAAGAAUAAGAAAACAAAAUCAUAAUUUAAGAGUUUCUCAUUUUUUGCUCAGUUUCUUUAUAUAUGUACAAGAUUUAAUUAUGCAAUGGUUUAAUUUUUAUGUCUCCUUUCCACUGGCAGGUAGAAUAUGCGAAGUCUUUAUUUGAAAGACAUCUAGAUAUUGCAUCAAAAUUCCGUCCAAAGAAUCCAUACCUAAAGACGGCGUACAUGAAUGUCCUCUUGAGUUUAACCCAAACGAUAUGUCAAUCUCCUCAAGAACUCUCCAAUGAUGAUCUCUCUGAUGCAGGCGCUGCAUUGGCAUAUUUGAGAGAAGCAGGGUUUGAGUUGGAUUGGUUGGAGAAGAAACUUAAUGAAGUAAAGGAAAAGAAAAAGAAAGAAGAGGCUUGUUUGGCCGAGAUACAAGACAUGGACGAACAUGUUAAGCCAUUGAAGAAGAAGUACUUAGACCUGGAAGCUCAGAUAGAUAAGAAGAAGGCAGAGUUGCUAGCUGCAAGAGCUCCUCUCUCCUUGAACGAUGACAAUGUUGUCUGAUUAUUUUUGAGUUCUUGGGCACUUGGAUUUAUGUUUUGCUUGUGUUUUAAUGUUUUAUCUCUCGUGAUGUGACAAUGUCUUGAUUUAGGAUUUUUCUAUAAUAUUGCGGUGCAGAACUAUCAUUACUCUCCUUCUCCUUUAAUAAAUUGUGGAUUAGUGAAAAAUUGUUAUAGAGAAUGAAAAAAGAAUGAAACGUUAUGUUUGAUGUUUCAAUAUUAUGUCAUAUAAAUAUUUUUAGGUUUUCUAUGUAAUAUUAAUUGAUUAUUAUUGAUUAAUAUCAGACUUCAAGAUAAAUAAUUAAAUAUCAUUGGUUUAAAAUUAUAAAAAAAAUGUAAAGUACAAAAAGUAAUCAAUUUAUAAUCAAUUUAUAAUAUGUUUUCUUAAUAUAUGUGUUUUUCUAGAAAAUCAAGUAUUAAGGAACAGAGGGAAUAUUAUAUAAUGAUUAGGGUCAUUUUUAUUAUUUUGUGAAGGUCAUUGUCUUAAAAAUAAUUUAGGGAAAGUCCAAUGCUUUUCUUGCAAAUUUUCUUAUAGACUUUUAUGUCAAAUCUUAUUAACCCUAGUCUUCCUAUUCCUAAUCUAAACUUGAAAGCUUAAAAGUUGUGGCUGCACUGUUUCAGUACUUCGUCCCUGUCUGUCUUUCGACCAAAACUCUGAGAAGUAAAUACUAAAAUAAUUUUUAAUCGUUCUACAAGUUUUUUUUUCCUUGACUAUGUUUAGUUUCUCAGACGUAGUAACGUGUAAAGAGAGAAAUAAAUUCUGUGUUCCAUAGCGAAAUAUUAAUCUUUGUUUUUGUUUUGUUUCUCGAGAUUGUUCUUUAACUUUUCGAUGUACAAAAUUUGUGUGUAGGAGUCAUCAUUGAGAUCAAUGGAGACAACAGUUGAUACGACGAUUACUUGGGUGAUUAAAAAUUUCUCUUCUUUGCAAUCUGCACCAAUUUAUUCCGACAUAUUCGUUGUUGGUGGCUGCAAGUGGCAAGUAGAUAGACUGUUUUUAUUUGUUUUAACCAACGGGUUGUUGGCCCAGUAGUAAAUCUCCGAGUUUAAGGUGCUGAGUUUCAGACACGUUGGAAUAGAUCUCUUCUUCAAAAAAGAUGAAUUUAACCUACAGGAUAAUCUUUUAUGAUUGUUUUUUUUUUGUUUGCAGGCGUAUUAUGGCCUACCCCAAGGGAAUUAACAAAGCUCAUGAUAGUUUUUCUCUGUUUCUAAACGUUCCUGAUAACGAAUCUUUACCUACUGGAUGGCGAAGACACGCUAAAGUUUCUUUUAGUUUAGUAAAUCAAGGUUCAGAAAAACUCUCUCAACGAAAAGGUUAUUAUUUUCUAUACUUGCUAGCUACUUUAUGGUUCAUGUUAGUUUUAUGUUUCUGUGUCAAUUUGUAAACAUUGAUAUUAACAAUAUGUUUUGUGAUUUUGCAGUGACUCAGCACUGGUUUGUUCAAAAGGCUUUUACCUGGGGGUUUCCAGUAAUGAUUACCCACACCGAACUUAACGCCAAAAUGGGAUUUCUGGUAAAUGGAGAACUCAAAGUUGUUGCUAAGAUAGAGGUUCUUGAAGUUGUAGGGAAAUUAGAUGUAUCAAAGGAAUCUUCACCAAUAAUGAAAACCAUAGAUGUCAAUGGGUUUCAAGUUCUUCCUUCACAGGUAAGAAACUAAGGAAACAUACAACAGUUUUUGUUGGUUUGUAGAAAAUUCAACCACAAGAUGUGAUAUACAGUUUUGAACAACUUGAUAGUUUCUCAUUGUGUUAUUCAGUUUCUUUAUAUAUUGUGGUUUUACUUUAUAUAUCGUUUUCACACGCAGGUAGAUUCUGUGAAGCGUUUGUUUGAAAAAAACCUAGAUAUUGUAUCAAAAUUUCGUCUUAAAAAUCCAUAUUUGAAGACUGCGUGCAUGAAUCUCCUCCUGAGUUUAACCGAAACGCUGUGUCAAUCGCCUCAAGAACUCUCCAAUGAUGGUCUCUCUGAUGCAGGUGUUGCACUGGCAUAUUUGAUAGAAACAGGGCUUAAGUUGGAUUGGUUGGAGAAGAAACUUGAUGAAUUAAAGGAAAAGAAGAAGAAAGAAGAGUCUUGUUUGGUCCGGCUGAGAGAAAUGGACGAACAGCUUCAGCCAUUUAAGAAGAGGUGCUUAGACAUUGAAGAUCAGAUAAGUAAGGAGAAAGAAGAGUUGUUAGCAGCUAGAGAACCUCUCUCUUUGUACGAUGACAUUGACAAUAAUGUCUGAUGACUUGAGAGUUCUUGGGCACUUAGAUUUAGGUUUUGGUAUGUGUUCUUUGCUUGCUUUUUGAUGUUUUAUCUCUCUUUUGAUGUGGAAACGUUUUGAUAUAGGAUGUUUCUAUAUUUUUUCUUUAAAAUUUUGGUGCUGACCUAUCAACACAUUCUUCUCCUUUGAUAAAUUGAGGAUUAAUGAAAAACACUUGUUGAGAGUGAAGAAACAAUGAAACGUUAUGUUUCAAUAUUAGGUCAAAUAAACGUCCUUCAAUAACGACUAGGUUAUGGGUCAUUUUUGUUAUUUUGGGAAUGCCAAUGUUUUAAAAAUAAUUUAGGAAAAGUCAAAUACUUUUCUUGCAAAAUUUCGUUGAGACUUACUCUAGGUCAAAUCUUACUCUAUAUACUAAAAGGUUAUUGUUAUCUAUAUAUGCUUUACUCACGACAAGAAUUCUACAUCAUGAAUGGUAGGAUUUUUUGUAGGAAAUAAGCGUUUCAUACCAAUUUUUUACGAAAAAUAUUAGUAUGGAAUGUCCUGUAUUAAACAGUUUUUGGUAAACAAUUCGUAAAGAAUGUUCUACGAAAUAAUUCUCGUAGAAACCACAUAGGAAAUCUCGUAGGAAAGUGGUAAGACCCCAUUAUCAUUUACUUAUCAAUAUUUCUCUCCAAUUUUCUACCAUUUUGUUUUACCAAUUUUCUAAAAAAGAUUGAUUAUAACAAAUACUACAAUGAACAAAGGGCUGACAUUUUACUAAUGUGAGGCAUUUUACUAAUGCGAGACACUAUUGUUAUUCAUUACAUGUUUAUAAAGGAUUAGAGUACGUGAGUAGAGUUGGGAUCCAACGAGAAGAAGUAAAAUGCCUCACAUUAGUAAAAUACCGCACAUUAGUUAAUAAUUCUCGUAGAAAAUCUCGUAGGAAAGUGGUGGGAUCCCCUUACCAUUUAUUUACCAAUAUUUCUCUUCAAUUUUCUACCAUUUUUUUUUUUACCAAUUUCCUACGAAUUCUAACUCGUUAUGAAAUAUCAUUCUUUCUAUUCUCCUACCAAAUAUUCUGAAAUUUUUAUAUAUUUACCAAAUAUCAUUUUUGCCAAAUUAUUUUAGUUGAAGCUUAGAUUUAUUCCUAAUCUAAGCUUGGACGCCUUUAAAGUUGUGGCUUAAUUCUUUCAGUAUAUCGUCCCUGUCUCUUUCUUUCGACCUCACUGAGGUAAAGUUGUGGCUUAAUUGAUUCUUUACAUCGUUCAACUUUUUUUAUUUCCUUGACUAUGUUCAGUUUCUCAAACGUGGUACAUGGUCAUUAAUUUGUAAAGAAAAUACGGUUUAGAAUGAUGUUCCAUAGUGGAAUCUUAAUCUUUAUUUGGUUUUGUUUAUUAAUUAACGAAUUUAUUUUGGUAACUUGUAAUGAAAACAUUGUAUGUAGAAGUCAUAAUUGAGGUCAAUUAAUGGAGACAAAAGUUGAUACGACGAUUACGUGGGUGAUAAGAGAUUCGUUUUCUUUGCAAGCCGCAUCGAUUUAUUCAGAUAAAUUCGUCGUAGAUGGCUGCAAAUGGGUAAGAACAUAAAUUAGGAUAUAAUAAGGCUAAUAGUUGGUCUCUGUUUCUACUUGUUCCGGAUAUUGAAUCUUUGUCUAUUGGAUUGUCUAUUGGAUGGAGAAGACACGCUAAAUUUUCUCUAACUUUAGUAAAACAAUUUUUUCUGAAUAACUCUCUAUACUACAAGGUUAUUGUUAUCUAUAUGUUAUCUAUAUAUGCUUUACUCACGACAAGAAUCCUACAGCAUAAAUGGUAGGAUUUUCAUAGGAAAUAAGCGUUUCCUACCAAUUUUCUACGAAAGAUGUUAGUAGGAAAUGUCCCGUAUUAAACAUUUUUUUGUAGGAAAUUCGAUAAGGAAUGUCCUACGAAAUAAUUCUCGUAGAAACCACGUAGGAAAUUUCGUAGGUAAGUGGUAAGACCCCCUUACCAUUUACCUACCAAUAUUUCUCUCCAAUUUCCUACCAUUUUUUUUUUUACCACUUUCCUACUAAUUCUAACUUGUUACGAAAUAUCAUUCUUUCUAUUCUCCUACCAAAUAUUCUGAAUUUUUUUUUAGUUUUAUUGCAAUAAAUAAUUUAUAUCUAUAAGAACACUUACUGAAACCUGUUAUAUCUCACAAAUUAUUCUUACAAAGCAAACAAAGUUACAAAUCCUUAUUCAUGAAUUCGUUUUACAAGCCACAUAAAAAGUAGAGAUUGAAAGCGAUUUACUCUUGAGUCUCGUCGUCGUCAUCAUCGCCAUCUACACUUGUGUUCCUAUUGUUCGUAGUCUCUUUCUUAAUUGUCGGAUAAUCCGGUGGUUGAAUUUAUGAAAAAUGUUGAAGAAAAAGCUUGUUGCAUUCCAUAAGAUAUUUUAUUUGAAGGUCCUUCUCAAGUUCACGCUUCUUGAUUGUUUGAAGCUCUUGAAGUAAUGCAAUCGUUUGGCCUGGAGCUGUGAAAGAUGAGAAGGAUCCGCCAGCAAACAAUCUACCAAACCCAUAGCGUCUUACUUUGACUAUGGGAACUUCCUGAAAAUGUAAAGCAAAGCAUAGUUAGUAUUGAAGCAUCUAGUUUAAAAACAACUUGACUGAAGUGAAAUUAUAACUACUUGUCAAAAUUUUGAAAUAAAUAUUAUUUCAUCUACUAAAACGAAAUAUGUUUUUUUCCUACUUAAUUAUCCUCCACCUACUUGUCAAAAUUUUGUUUCACAUUUUUAAAAAAUCUCUACGAUUUUCCUACAAACAUUUUGGUAGGAAAGGCUCUUACUUUUUUCCUUACGGCUCUAACAAAAAUAUUUUCGUGGGAAACUAGGAGGAACAGUUCAUCGCUUAUCCUACGAAUCUCCUUUAAAAAUAUUAUCGUAGGAAAUUGGAAGGUAAUGCUUCCGACCACUUUCCUACGACUAUAUUUCCUUUGGUUUUCCUGCCAUUUUCCUAUGAGAUUUCCUACGAUAUCAUAUGUCGUAAGAAAAUCGAUAGAAAAUUCCUUCGAAAACCUGACGAAUAUUUUUGACGAGAAAUUCCUUCGAAUUGUUUACGAAAUAUAUAUUUUGUAGGAAAUUGGAAGCAUUUUGGUAAGUGUUUUUUCCUUCAAAAUUUUGGUAAUUUUGGUAGGAAAUUUGGUCGGAAAAUACUAUGUUUUCUUGUUAAUAAGUAAGGAGAUCUCCCGACGGACUUCCUAAUUCGUUAAAAAAAGUUUUCCUUUCACAUAAAGAAAAAUUAUGAAAAGAAUGGAAAAUUAUAAGAUUCAAACUCUGAAAAAUUGGAAGUAUAGUUUAUCUUUUAACCGCCUGAAUAUUGUAUAAAUAGAAGAGUUUGUCCUCUAUUCAAGGAUCCACAAUUUAAUAUAAGAAACCUAAUUUUCUACAUUGUUCUUGAUCAGAACCCUAACUUUGUCUCAAAGCAAUCUUAUUAUUCAUUGCAAUUGAGCCCUUGAUUAAUCUAUUAACAAAAGAGUUGAUUUAAUUUAUUUUCCCUUUAAUCAAUUUCAUUGUGUGAUUUCUUGAAUCAACACCUACAAGCAUUUCUAAGUAUAUAGACUAAGAAUUUGAUACUCUGGUCGAUAAAGGAUGAAGCAUGUGAAGGUUUAUGUGAAAAAGAAGCUUGUACAGUCUACUCCAAAAAUUCGUUUUAUGGUCUUUCCCUGAAAAAAUUGAUGAAUAAGGCGAAAUUAACACUAAAUUAGGUUGUCAUUGUCAGGACAUGAAAAAUCACAAACUUUUAUGCAGCUCACAUGAAAAGUCACAAACUUCUAGGCAGCUGCAAGAUCGGGAACAAGAAAAAUAAUCGUAUAUUGUAGAAUAGGGUUUUUAAUUAUGUAAAGACCGUAAAUCGCUGCCAUCAUUUUUGGUAAAUCUUCAAAGAUCCAACCCAAAAAAUAGCAAGACGGUGAAGAUAGAACAAAUGGACUAAACGAUACUCCCUUUAUUCAUAGUUUGAUGUUUCGCAAAGACUGAUAUUUUGUAAUAAUAUCAUUAUUAUUUUUAUUUAUGACCAAUAGAAAGAGAAAAAAGUGAGAUUAAUAUUAUUAAACUAGUAAUAAAUAAAUAAAUAAAUAGAAAAGUUAUUUAUUUUUUAGUUUGUGUGUAAAAUUUAAAUCAUUUUUUUAGAAAUAGAAAGAACAUAUUUUAAUAAUAAAAAAAAAAAUCGUGCUUUUUAGUUUUAGGGCCUUUUGCUAGUGCUAUUUCCAUACUUAACUUUUCGGUCACCGACUUCUCCAAUUUUUGUUCAAUAGACUAGAGAGAUACUAGAAGCCCCCUUGGCCCAAUGGUUGACCCAGGGUUCAUUAAUGCUUCUACACCAAGAGGUAUAGGGUUCGAGUCCCAGCUAAUUCAAUUUAUUAGCAGAUUUGUAGAUUAAUGGAGGCAAGUGUGCAGAAGAUCUACAAUGAUGUACAAUUAUGGCCGUUCGCCAGGAUUCUACGCAGAGAAGAUAUUGAAAGUUUCCAUCAAGCGCGUAGAAAAUAAGAAGGAAGUGUCGUCUGUCGUGGAUCUAAUAAGGGUUGAAAGGAAUUGUCCGUGAUAAAAUCGUUUAUAUAACAGUUCUCAUAAUUUGUAAUAAAUAAUAAAUCUAAGAUGGUAAAAAGAAAAAGACUAGAGAGAUAAAGGAGAAUGGAAAACAACAGAAAUGUGUUGAAGAUAUAAUACUUGCUCGGCAAGUAAAGUAGAAAAUAAACAUUUUUUCAGUUUGAAACUAUAAAAGUAUCCUAAUGCAAUAGUGACUAGUCAAUAGAAUAACAUGCCGUUGUAAAAGUGAUAUUUUUUUUUAAUAUAAUUUAACAUUAGAUUUUAAAAAAGAGAAAUAGAUCAUCGUUUUAUCAGAACUAGUGAAGAAAAAAAGCCAAAAUCUAAGGAACAAAAGAAAAGAUAGACAAAAAGAUAUUCAGAAAUCUAACGACACUUGUUCUUGGGAAUGAAGAAACAAUAACGUUAUGUUUCAUUAUUUGGCAAUAAACGUUCUAAAUGACUACUUACCAGCUAGGGUCUUUUUUGUUAUUUUGUUAAGGUCACUGUCUUAAAAAUAAUUUAGGAACAACUAAAUGUUCUUCUUGCAAAAUUAGUUUUAGACUAAACUAGUUAGUAUAUAAACCCUAUGCGAUAUGAGGAGACGAAGCGUUUCACAUUCCUCUACAUCAUCUCUGUCUCUUCCUCUCUUCUCUUUCUCUCUACCUCACUCAGGGAGGUAAGUAGUUAAACUACUUCGAUAGUUCUACCCUUUUUUUUAUUCUCUUGACUAUGUUCGUAUAUUCACAGUGGAAUCUUAAUACUUAUAUUGGUUUGGUUUCUCUAUAUUGUUAUUUGAUUUUUGUUUUUUUUCUUCUGAAAGUCUUGGUGAGUAGGAGUCAUUAUCAAAAUCAAUGGGGAAGCAAGUUGAUAGUAAGACUAUUACUUGGGUGAUUGAAAAUUUCUCCUCUUUGCAAUCCGCAUCAAUUCACUCUGAUCAAUUCGUGGUUGGUGAUUGCAAAUGGUAAGAAAAUAAAUUGUUAUCUAAUGUUAUCCCUAGAAUAUGGGUUUAGCUGAUUAUUUUACUUUGGUUUUUGCUUGCAGGCGUCUUAAGGCCUAUCCCAAGGGAAAUGAAAAGGCGACUUAUUUGGCUUAUAGGGCUAAUAAUUUGGCUCUGUAUUUAAACGUUGCUAAUAGUAAAUCUUUCCCUAUUGGAUGGACAAGACACACUAAAUUUUCUCUUACUUUAGUAAAUCAAAAAUCAGAAAAACUCUCCAAACUAACAGGUUAUUGUUCUCUAUGCUUGCUCUAUUUUAUGGUUUAUGUUAUGUUGUAAACAUUUAUCUUAAAAGUUUUCUCUAACUUUAGUAAAUCAAUUUUCGGACCAACUCUCCCAACUAAACUGUUAUUGUUUUUGCUUCCUACUUAAUAGUUUAACUUAGUUUCAUGCUUCUGUGUAUGAACGUUAAUAUUAACUCCAUGGGAGGGCACCUUUAUGUCUUACUGAUGAAAUGACUACUUUUUUGUGAUUUUGCAGAAUCACAACACUGGUUUGAUCAUAAGUCUACUAGCCGGGGGUUUCCAGCUAUGAUUCCUCUCACUAAUCUGCAUACUAAUGAGGGAUUUCUGGUGAAUGGAGAACUCACCCUUGUUGCCAAGGUAGAGGUUCUUGAAGUUGUAGGAAAAUUAGAUGUAUCAAAGAAAUCUUCACCAGUAAUGGAAACCAUAGAUGUCAAUGGGUUUCAAGUUCUUCCUCAAGUAAGAAAUUAUAUAAAUAAUUAUACCACACUUGUUGUUAUGUAGUGGAAAUUCUAGGUAUUCUGUUUUGAAACAAGUAUAAGAAAAAUACUUUUAAAUAUAAAGAAUAUGAAGAAAACAAAUCGUUAGUCUAUUAGUAUAUAGUCCAGUUUCUUCAAAUAUAUACUAGGUUUAGAUAUGAUGUGGUUUUACUUUAUGCAUCCUUUCCACUCGCAGAUAGAAUCGGUGAAUCGUUUGUUUGCAAAACACCUAGAUAUUGCAUCCAAAUUUCGUCCAAAGAAACCAUAUAUGAAGACGGCGUACAUGAAUGUUCUCCUAAGCUUAACCAAGACGCUGUGCCAAUCGCCUCAAGAUCUCUCCAAUGAUGAUAUAUCUGGUGCAGGCGCUGCACUGACAUAUUUGAGAGAAGCAGGGUUUAAGUUGGAUUGGUUGGAGAAGAAACAUGGUGAGAUAAAGGAAAAGAAGAAGAAGGAAGAGGCUUCUUUGAAACGGCUGCAAGAAAUGGAGAAACAGAUCUUUAACGAAGCUCAGAUAUAUAAGGAGAAGGUGUUGGCAGCUAGAGCUCCUCUCUCUUUGAACGAAGACAAUGUUUUCUGAUGACUUACGAGUUCUAGGGCACUUGGAUUUAGGUUCUGUUAGUUUUUCUUCUUUGUCAGCUUGCGUCUUGUUUUCUAAAUGAGAACUCUCUUUAUUUGGAAACGUUUUGUAGUUGAGCGCUCUCUAUGUAGCUUAACUUUGAGGCUAUGCCUAUUUCAUUGGUCGUAUCAUUUUUUUCGUAAGCUGCCACUAUUUCACCGUUUCUUUAAUUGCACUAUAUAUGUUCCUUGACGACAAAGUAAUGUGUUUUGUGUCUAAACAAACAAGCUGUGACACAUGAAGAGUCACGGUAAUAUAGUGUCGACGUUGAAACCAAUAAUAUUAUUGCAAUCUCACCAAAUGCUUUCAUUCAAUCUACUAAGUAUCUACAACCCAUCUCUAUUUUUAUCUAUAUAUUUUAUUUGUACCUCUAUUUCAUUCCAACUCAUCGAGAGACAACCAUUAGAGAUAGUCUUAUUUCUUGAGGCCUCUUAAGAUAUCCAACUCAGCAUUCUCAAAAAUACUCUCCCUAAUGGACACGUCAUCCACUAGUUUCUCAGAAUAAAACGAUGCCAAGAUAAGCAUUAAAAAUACACCUUAACAGUUAUAAUGGACCAACUACUAAUAAAACCCCUUGGCCCAAAAGAAGUAUAGAUCGAAGAGCUAUUGGAGAGAGAGGAGCAUGACCAAUCUUUAGAUUUUGGUGGCCCUAAAGCAUAGUUAAAUAAUGUGAACUUUUAUAAAAACAUAAGCCUAAAAAAUUGUCAUUACAUAUUGUACCUUCAAUUCAGUUUUGUUUGGAAGAGUGAAAAAUAUUGUAAUACCUAUGUUUUGGCUGCCUUAUCAGCGGGCUGGAGAGAGGAGCCACGAGUCUUUGUAUCUGUAAGUGUAUGUGAAAGAAAAGAAAAAUGAAGUUGAAGAUAAGAAGAAGAUUUCACGUAAAUAAUUAGUUUUAGAAAGUUGGAUAUGAGGAAGUAAUCUUAUUUACUAUUUAGUUUUAGGAAUUAAUUUAAGUUUCCUUUUAUUAUUUAAAGAGAUUAGGAAUUGCUUUUCUCAAUUAUGUUAAACUAUGUAAUCUCUCUAAAGAGCUAACAAAUCAAUGUGGAGGUUAGAUCGAAGCUUUGGUCGUGACAAUGUCGAAGAUAUCAGAGAGUAAAUCAACACUUUCUCAUCAUGGUACUGCAUAUGAUGAGGAUUUGGACAAUGAUGAAAUCGUGAACAUAAAAGGCUUUUGGAUUUUCCGAUCAAAGGUAAGUAAUAUAUCAAUCAAUUCUGAUUAUAUGUAAUCUCUAAUGAAAAUAAUAUAUGGUUUCGAUUACUUUUGUUUAUAGUUAGGUCUAGCGAAACGAGUCUUUGAGAAACAUCCAGAGACGACAACAAAAUUUUGUCUAAAGAGUGAAUUUGCCAAGGAAACUUACUUGACUGCCCUACUAGACCUCAUUGACAUGAUAAACAUGUUACCUCAGCAAUCUCUCUUCGAAGCCGAACUAAAAGAAGCAGAAAACACAAUUUUGGACCUUGAAGCUGCCGGUUUCAAGUUGGAUUGGUUGAAAAGGAAGCUUGAGGAGAUUCGUGUUACUAAGAAGAAAGCGAAGAACCGCACGACUCGGAUGAGAGAACUAGACCGAAAGAUUCAGAAGCAUUUGGAGGAGUUGUCGGUCCUUCAAGAAGAAAUGAAGAAGGAGCAGUUUGAGGCUAUGUGUGACAAACCUGAAUAUUAUUUAGACUCACUUUGUUUGAAUGAAGUCACAUGUGACUCUAGUGAACCAAUUACCAAAUAAAUUUGUACACACAAAGGCAAAGAGUUUAUUGCUUUUACGCCUCACUUGUUUCAGAAGAUUCCAUUAGGUUAAAAGGGUUUUUGUAUUUCUCUCGGCUUCUAUAAAGAGAGGGCUUACAUAUAUACAAGUAUCAAAGAAGUUUCUGAAAUCCAGUUGUAUUGUCUUAGCUUUAUAUAAAUUUUCUUUUUCUAUUGUCGAUCUUGUAUCUUGAUAAAAGAGGUAAAAGACUUACAAAUUUUUGAUUACUUUGGCGAUGAGGCGCAAUUUCUCUGAAUAGAAAACUACUAGGACCGUGGAAUAACUUUGGCGAUGAGGUGCAAUUUUUCUGUUUAGUGAAUUUUUAUUUGCAUUGGGUUUGAUUGUCACCCGUGGAAUGACGUUAUAUAUCGUGAACAAAUGAAUUUUGUUAAUAAAAGCCUUUUUUUGCUGCAUAAUGCAUAAUUGCAAGAUUUGCGUUUUUGCUUAAAAUGUAGAAGUAAAUAAUUUAUCAACCAAAUAAGUGGGGUUUUAAAUUUUAUAAGAAAUAAUUAUACAUAGGUACUAAUGAAAAAAUAAAGAUAUUAGUUUCUGACGAUGCAAGAUAUAGUUAUGUCAUUUUUAACUCUGAAUACACUAUGUUAUAACUUUCUAAAAUCAUAUAUAUGAAAGUUGGUCAACUCUCUUCAAAUGAUUGACACAUCAUCACACAAGAAUAUGACAUGUGUCAUUCUACUUUAAUUAAAUAAAAAAAAUUAACAUAAUUAAUUGAGAAAAAAUCAAAAGUCUUUUGUUGUGUUAAAUAUUUCAUUAAUCUCACUUUUAAAUAAAUUUUCUAAAGAUUUUAAUAUGUAUUAAGCACUACUUUCAUUGUAUUCUAUUUAUUUUAUUAAAUUCUUUUUAUCAAUAGUCAUUACUCCAUACUGGCUAAUAAUUUACUUGUGGUAUAGAUUUACAUGAUGUGUUGUAGUUUAGAUGUUUUCUACCUGACCUCAUAUUAAUUUAAUAAUUUUACUUGGAUAUUUUCUUAUUAAUAUGUUUUGUGAAUAUGAUUUAUCAUACGAUAUUCUUUCUUUUCAUUUUUAUGCGUUCUGAUAACUUGAUAACAUUGAUCUACAAUUUUUUCACGUAAUGGUCCUUCGGGACGUUAAACAUACCAAAAAAAAGAAGAAAAAACAUGAAACUCUAUAUGGCUAUAGGCGGAGGAAGAUAUCUAAAGUGUUGACUUAAAUUAUUAGCAUAUUAGGAUUUGAUUGGUGUACUAGAUGACGAAAGAAUAUAUAAAAUAAAGAAUUAUUUGUUACAAUUAAGUUAGGCAAAUUUCAAACAACAUAAGUAACAUAACUACAUACAUUGUAUCAAUAUAUCAUAUACUGUUGUAUGUGUUUAUGAUAGUGAAAAAUUAGGAUAAUAGGUAUAUAAAUAUUUAUAUUAUAGUAAAAUUGAUAUUUCAAAUUAUAGAUGAAUUUAAUCAUAAAAAUUAUAAUUAUAUAAAAUAGAUAUGAAUUUAUUAAUUACACAAUAAUAAACAUAAAAUGAAUAAAAACCAUAAUCAUAUUUUUCGAUAAUUUUAAAAACAAAAACUCAUGCGUAGCAUGGGUGUUCAUCUAAUCAUAUAUAUGAAAGUUGGCCAACUCUCUGCAUAUGAGUGACACAUCAUCACACCAGUGAACGCUACAUGUCAUUCUAAAUUAAUAUUAUUAAAAAAGAAUAAAAGCUAAUGAUAAAAAAUUAAAAGUUUCACAUUGCAUUGAAUCAUCCAUUAAUAAUCCCACUCUUAACUAAAUAUCUUCAUUUAAAAGAAAAAAUACAAAAAAUCAUUUUAAUGUAUGAAACACUACUUUCAUUUUAUUUUUCUUAUUUUGCUAUUUUUAAUAGUCAUUUGAUAACGACUAAAAAUUUUCGUGUAUUGCAACUUAACUGUUUGCUACUUAACAUUUAAAAACAAAACAAAACCACAAUUAAAACUUAUGGCAUAUUUCUUUAUAAAUAGUAAGCCAAAGUCUUAAUUAAAAAUUAUAUUCUACCUCUCACAUAUAUAUAUAUAUAUAUAUAUAUAUAUAGAUAUAAAAGAUAUUUUUUUAUACUUUAAAUGACUUGUAAGUUUGAAACAAAUAGUUGGAGGUGGUGCUUGAACAGGAAGAAGUGUUGUGGUUUCAGAAAUCUAGAAAAACGUGGAUAGCUUUGGGGGAUAGAAACACAACUUAUUUUCACACUUCUACUAUUAUUAGAAGACGAAAAAACCGCAUUGAAGCUUUGAAGGAUCAUGAGGGUAGAUGGGUGGUGAGUUCUCAUGAAUUGGAAAAGCUAGAUUUGGAUUACUAUAAGAGGCUAUACUCAAUGCAGGAUGUGGAACUUGUUGUGGAAUGCUUACCACCUGACGGGUUUGCGCUGUUGACGGGAGAAGAGUUGUGAGAUCUGUGUAAGCCUUUUUCGAAUGCUGAAGUGGAAAUGGCUAUAAGAAGCAUGGGUAAGUUUAAAGCACCUUGUCCUGACGGUUUCCAACCCGUCUUUUACCAACAAAAUUGGGAUGUUGUGGGAACAUCAGUGAAUCGUUUUGUUUUGGAUUUCUUCACGACGGGUAUCUUGCCAAAAGAAACAAAUGAUUCUCUGUUGGUGUUAAUUGCUAAGGUGGAAAAACCAGAGCUUAUUACACAAUUCCGUCCGAUAAGCCUUUGUAAUGUCUUGUUUAAGAUUAUUUCAAAGUCGAUGGUAAUGCGUAUGAAGAAAGUGAUACCAAAACUGAUUGGUCCGGCUCAGUCCAGCUUUAUUCCGGGUCAUUUGAGUACAGUACCUGCCCGAGCGUCGUAUCUUUUGUCUCGGUUAUAAACAUGUCUUUGAUGGCUAACCAAACAAUUAAAGAGUAUUCCAGGACACCUUGAGGAAACCAAAUUAAACUUGACCAUGAUACCUUCGAUGAGAUCAUGGAUGAUAUCCCAAGUGCACUUAGAAGAGAAUGAUAAUCGAGAAUAUAUAUGUAACAUAUACGAAUGAUAUAACAAGAAUAAAAUUCUCUCUCUUACCCGAUCGAACCCUCCAAAGCUUCAUUUGCUUUCGAUGAGUCUCACAAUAAUAGGAAAGGAAAUAAAACCCUAACCAAGUAAAUAGUUUCCAAAAUCAAUAAUAUAAAAAAAGAAAUGAUCCUAAUAGAAGAAUAUAUCCUUCUGCCUUCAUGUCAAAAUAUUCGUGAUGUGUAUUUGAUGUGUACUCCGUGAUCUAAAUUAGUUGCUUGGAGAUAUGGUUCUACUCAUAUCAUAGUCUCUAGCCAUAUUUAACAAGCACUAUCCUUGAUUGUCUGAAUGCUUUAUCAGGUUUACCUUUGUAUGCGUUUUCUUUUCUUUUUUCUUUUUUUUUGUUAGCACCGUUUAAUUUGUGUUAAUUGUAAAAAUCUAUAUGUUAAAUAGACCAUGCAACCUGUAUCGUAGAUCAUAAUACUUUAGCAUCGUUUGGACGAUAUUUUACGUGCAUCCAAUAUCUAGAGUUUGGCUGAAUUGUCAGCCAUAUACUAGUUGCAAUCUCAACAUUUCACCAUAAUUUUUUUUGUUUCUUAAAUAACUACAAAAAAAAGAAAAAUCUCGAUAAAAUUAUAUAUAUUUUUAGAUUUGUUUUUAAAAUUACAUCUCCAUGAACCGAUUAGUUAACCGAUAAUAUGAAAAACAUUCAUUUGACGUUUUAUAGUGAAUUAGUUAAAAAAUAUAUAUGGUUUUAUAUAUUACGAGUGUGAUCGAUACGUAAGAAACAAUUCCUAGUAAUAUAUAUCUUUUUUUUGUCGGUUCCUAAUAAUAUAUAUCAGAGACUAAUACUGGAGAAUUUCCUAGAAACCUUACAACUUUUUUUCUUGUAGAUAAUUGCGAAAUGAUGAUAAUUUAGCUUUUUGACAUGGACAGGUACGUGUCAUAUCUCUCUCAAAUCACAUCAAAAUAAAAGUUCGUUCCAUAUUUCGUUAAUUCGUUCCAUUUAAUUUUUAAGGAAACAUGAUUUUUUAAUGGAACAUGUUAUUCUAACGUGGUUAUGUGAACUUCUAAAUUCUAGGUUAUGACAUCCAUUUAUGUAAAAAAUUAGUAUAUUAUAUUUUUAAAAGAAUAAAUAUGUUACAAAAAAUAAGAUUGCAAUUUUCAUAACAUUUAAAUGUAUGCCAAAAUUAUCCUAAAACUAGGUCACAACAUUUCUUUUUUACUUUUACUCCAAAAUUUUGUCAUCCCACCUAAUUAUUUAUUAUUUAGAUGGUAGUACAACCUUCUAGAUAAUCUUUACUCUUUACAAUCAACGUGAAAGGAAACGACAAAAAAAAUGACUCUUGUGUCAAAGAGAAAAGGAAGUAACCUUCCUUGGCCACGUCUGAAAAUGCGGAAAAAGGACUUUGGGUCGUGACAGUGAAACUUAGAGAUCUUGUCGACAACCAGAUCGCUUCACUUGAUUAGUGAUACUUUAUCAUCACUAUUUUAGUAUUUUUCGUGUAAUUUUAAAUUUCAUGCUCUCUCUUGGACUUGGUCCGCUAAUGAUUCCGAUUUUUAUACAGCUUAUCAAUCACUGUAGGAGUAUCAUUAAAAUUUAUGUAUUUUUGAUAAUUACGAAGUUAUCAUAUACCCAUUUGGACUCUAGCCUCUCUAUAUCAUAAAAUCAGUUAUGUGAAUUGUAGUGGCUAGUAGAAUAUGAGUUAGUAUAAGUGUAUUUGUUUGUUUUAUUAGUCACAAGUCGUUUGUCUUAUUCUCAAAUAGUAAUUUGUAUAGAUAUAUAGAUAGAUACAAUAAAGUAUCAAACUAGUAGAAAAUCGGUACCCAAUCUAAUUCAUUAGUAAUCAAUUCAUAUCUAACAAUAUUUUAUGUGUUAAUAUAUUGGCAACAACUUCAUCAAAUAUGUGGCAACGAUUACAUCAACGUCGUAAAAAACGUGGCAUCCACGUCAGUAGCCAUGAGAAAAGAUAUAUGGUUUCACACGAUUCAAUAAAUUUAGAUAUAAAGUUUAAAUUAUUGAAAUAUUGGAUAUAUAUUAGCAUAGAAAUGUUUGUAGUUAGAAUUAAAUACAGAUACUUUACUUUACUAUGAAAUGACCGAACUUUGUUCAAAUUUGCCAAAGGCAAACGCUAAGAAAUUCACUUUUGAGUAAAAUGCAAGUAGAAAGAUGGUACCUACAAGACUACACUCAGUGACUUGGAUACUGAUUAAAUAAAUUGCAUGGAUAGAUAUUUCGAUCGCGGUCGGCAUGAAUUAAGUAUCUAUAGCCAAGCAAUUUGUCAGUCAAAAGCUCCAUUAGAAAUUUAAUUAGAAUAUUUGUAUUCACGAUAGCCAAGCAAAAGUUUUGCACGCUCUAAAAUGAAAGUCCUAUAGUAGUUUCUACGCAUAACGCAUUGCUCUUUUUAUGCUAUACUUACUAUUGUUCAGUGCAUAUAGAUUUGUCUCUAUAUAUCCCUCUGUCGGCAGAGAUUUCAAAAAAGAUCCUUAACAAGUAUCAUUAGUGCACGCCUUAACUAUCCAAAUAGUAACAAACUUAAACAAUAGAAAAACUUGAAAAAAUGUAUCAAUUUUCAAAUUUGAUACGAAAAAACUUGAACUUUUAAAAUAUUAUUUAAAUCAUAAAGUUUUCUUUGAUAUUUUUUGUAAAAUAGUCAAAUUUUGUUGAAUUCACCAUUUCGAACAUAUCGCUAAAUUUUCAUAAAUAAAAUUAACUUUCGAUUAAGAGAAUAAAACAACGUCGUUUUAUCAACUACAAAACAUAGUCGUUUUGUUAAAAAAGCGUAGUGGACUGGAGUUGCCAUUCACGUUUAUUCAUAUCUAGUUACAAUGAAUCCAACAACGGACCAUAAGGGGCCCGACGCAACACGUAUAAUACUCUGAUACUUAUCUUCUUAAUUACUACUUAAUUUGUUUCUACUGUGAUAAAUUUCCUUUAACUUUACUUUUGAUAAAAUAUUGUCUUCUUUUUAUUCUACUACGGAGUAGUUUUUUGACUUUUCUCAUUUCCUAUUCUGUUCGUUUCUAUAAAUAGAGGGCAUGCAACGUAACAUAUUACUCAUCACUUACUUAACAUACUAAGAGAGUUAUUAGAACUUGCAAAAAAUGGCUUCCAAGGCUUUGAUUCUGUUAGGUCUCUUCUCAGUUCUUCUCGUCGUCUCCGAAGUGUCUGCCGCAAGGCAAUCGGGUACGUAAAAUAUUAUACAUUUCAGCCUGCUUACAAAAAACGAAGAUAUGUUCGUGAGGCUAGCUAUUCAAACUUGAACUAACGUACCAUUUGAUAAAUUUAUACAACUAUUUCGCCAGUUCCAUUUUAUGGACUUACAAUAUAGUAAAGUCAGAACACACUUCACUUGAGUGAUGUGGAAUCCUAGGAAGUUUUGUGUAAAUUAUGUUUCGAACGUAUAUUUAAAAACUAUAGUUUCGAGUUUAUAUAUGUACUUUAAAAAAAAAAUUGAGGUGGAAAACUAAAUUGAAGUCAGGAAGAGGGCUUCACAUUUUCACGUGCUUAAGAAUGUCUUUGAAAUAACGUGUUUUUUGGGCAGGCAUGGUGAAGCCAGAGAGUGAGGAAACUGUGCAACCUGAAGGUUAUGGCGGUGGCCACGGAGGACAUGGUGGUCACGGAGGGGGAGGAGGCCACGGACAUGGAGGACACAACGGAGGAGGGGGCCACGGACUUGACGGAUACGGAGGAGGUGGAGGACACUAUGGAGGAGGUGGAGGACACUACGGAGGAGGUGGAGGACACUACGGAGGAGGUGGAGGACACUACGGAGGAGGUGGAGGACACUACGGAGGAGGUGGUGGAGGACACGGAGGUGGAGGACACUACGGAGGUGGUGGAGGAGGAUACGGAGGUGGAGGAGGACACCACGGAGGAGGAGGCCACGGGCUAAACGAACCUGUUCAGACUAAGCCGGGUGUUUAAAACUAUAUAAUAUCUUCACUACCAUGCAUGAUUGCAUAUAUAUAUAUACG